Molecule: non-coding RNA, 96 nt
Organism: Fomes fomentarius
Lineage: Eukaryota; Fungi; Basidiomycota; Agaricomycetes; Polyporales; Polyporaceae
Source: the annotation of a GenBank genome assembly
GGCCGACUAGCUCAGUUGGUUAGAGCGUGGUGCUAAUAUAUCGCUGGGGUCCCCUUUGCUACGCCAAGGUCGUCGGUUCGAUCCCGGCGUUGGCCA